Passer domesticus (house sparrow) is the source of this 857-nucleotide long non-coding RNA. RefSeq lists it as uncharacterized. Lineage: Eukaryota; Metazoa; Chordata; Aves; Passeriformes; Passeridae. The record is from RefSeq and is a predicted model, not a curated record. The transcript is spliced from 2 exons.
AAAGGCUGCUGGGUCAUUUUACACUGAUGAAUACUCAUUUUCUUUUCUCAUGCCUCUGUAUAUGUCUCCCACUGUCCUCAGAAGGAUGAGAUAGCUGAAGCUGCACAGGGUGCUGGGCCCAACCACAUUCCAAAAUAGAUGAUAGAGCAUUGCUAUCUGGUGAGAGGGAACCUGAGCUUGCCCUCUGGGGAUGUUGUAUGGGGCACCAUAAAGCUAUUGCUGAAGACACACUUGCAAGCAGGUGACCUGGAUGGGCUGCAGUUUGACCUGUGGAGCAGGAAGAAAGCAUCUAAUUAAGAGCUGGGAAGUUUCACUGGGAACUGAAGAUGUCCUGCCUUUGGAGCCCUGGCUGUGAUGUGCAGCAAGAACUGGGAAGAGUCCUGGAGCUGCUGCCCUGACUCUGACUGCAAGAGUGGAGAAGGAAGAGAGAUUGCUUGCCCCAGGAAGACAAUUCCAGGCUCUUGUGCUUGUUGGAAAUGAUGGGAGACCAAGGGAGUUGUGCUCUUAGUUGGGCUUUGUGCAUGGGGCAGAAGGCAGUGCCCUUGGCAGGCUCCUGCAUAGCACCUUGUGAGCCAGAAUCCCCAUGCAGACAUUAAGUGGAAGAGUCUCAGUGUAACAGAUUGUUGGAGCUGUUUGUUGUCCUUCAUUGUGUAAUUCAGAUCAAGAGAGGAAAUGAAUGUACUCGGUCUAAAAAAAUUCUGUGUUCCUUCCGAUUUUUAUGAAUGUGUAUAACAAGAACCUUUGGAAGAGCUGCAUGUUAAUGCAUAAGUGGUUAAAUUACAGUAGCAUCAAGGAUUUGAUUUAAACUAACAGAUUCAAGAAUUUCCAAUAAAACCAAAAAUCUCUUUUCAUCCAAA